AGUGAACGCUGGCGGUAGGCCUAACACAUGCAAGUCGAACGGCAGCACAGGAGAGCUUGCUCUCUGGGUGGCGAGUGGCGGACGGGUGAGGAAUACAUCGGAAUCUACUCUGUCGUGGGGGAUAACGUAGGGAAACUUACGCUAAUACCGCAUACGACCUACGGGUGAAAGCAGGGGAUCGUCGGACCUUGCGCGAUUGAAUGAGCCGAUGUCGGAUUAGCUAGUUGGCGGGGUAAAGGCCCACCAAGGCGACGAUCCGUAGCUGGUCUGAGAGGAUGAACAGCCACACUGGAACUGAGACACGGUCCAGACUCCAAAGGGAGGCAGCAGUGGGGAAUAUUGGACAAUGGGCGCAAGCCUGAUCCAGCCAUACCGCGUGGGUGAAGAAGGCCUUCGGGUUGUAAAGCCCUUUUGUUGGGAAAGAAAUCCAGCUGGUUAAUACCCGGUUGGGAUGACGGUACCCAAAGAAUAAGCACCGGCUAACUUCGUGCCAGCCGCCGCCGUAA
This 506-nucleotide ribosomal RNA is filed under the name uncultured bacterium. RNAcentral describes it as "partial 16S ribosomal RNA". It matches the Rfam family "Bacterial small subunit ribosomal RNA", at positions 29 to 523 of the family's 1533-position model. The record is from RNAcentral.